GAUGAACGCUGGCGGCGUGCUUAACACAUGCAAGUCGAACGAGAAUCCAGUGAAGGAGUUUUCGGACAACGGAUCUGGAGGAAAGUGGCGGACGGAUGAGUAACGCGUGAGCAAUCUGCCUUGGAGUGGGGAAUAACGGUUGGAAACAGCCGCUAAUACCGCAUGAUGCGUCUGGGAGGCAUCUCUCUGGACGCCAAAGAUUUAUCGCUCUGAGAUGAGCUCGCGUCUGAUUAGCUUGUUGGCGGGGUAAAGGCCCACCAAGGCGACGAUCAGUAGCCGGACUGAGAGGUUGGCCGGCCACAUUGGGACUGAGACACGGCCCAGACUCCUACGGGAGGCAGCAGUGGGGAAUAUUGGGCAAUGGGCGCAAGCCUGACCCAGCAACGCCGCGUGAAGGAAGAAGGCUUUCGGGUUGUAAACUUCUUUUCUGAGGGACGAAGAAAGUGACGGUAC
RNAcentral lists this ribosomal RNA (453 nucleotides) under uncultured bacterium. RNAcentral's name for it is "bacterial SSU rRNA". It matches the Rfam family "Bacterial small subunit ribosomal RNA", at positions 28 to 478 of the family's 1533-position model. The record is from RNAcentral.